GGGGAAUAUUGCACAAUGGGCGCAAGCCUGAUGCAGCGACGCCGCGUGAGGGAUGACGGCCUUCGGGUUGUAAACCUCUUUCAGCAGGGAAGAAGCGCAAGUGACGGUACCUGCAGAAGAAGCGCCGGCUAACUACGUGCCAGCAGCCGCGGUAAUACGUAGGGCGCAAGCGUUGUCCGGAAUUAUUGGGCGUAAAGAGCUCGUAGGCGGUUUGUCGCGCCUGCUGUGAAAACGCGAGGCUCAACCUCGCGCCUGCAGUGGGUACGGGCAGACUAGAGUGCGGUAGGGGAGACUGGAAUUCCUGGUGUAGCGGUGGAAUGCGCAGAUAUCAGGAGGAACACCGGUGGCGAAGGCGGGUCUCUGAGCCGUAACUGACGCUGAGGAGCGAAAGCAUGGGGAGCGAACA
RNAcentral lists this ribosomal RNA (406 nucleotides) under uncultured bacterium. RNAcentral describes it as "bacterial SSU rRNA". It matches the Rfam family "Bacterial small subunit ribosomal RNA", at positions 356 to 774 of the family's 1533-position model. The record is from RNAcentral.